GCUAUUGGGAUCCGAUUUAGCCAUGCUAGUCGCACGAGUUCAGACUCGUGGCGAAUAGCUCAGUAACACGUGGCCAAACUACCCUUCGGAACACAAUACCCUCGGGAAACUGAGGCUAAUAGUGUAUCCCAUACCACCACUGGAAUGAGUGGUAUGCCAAACGCUCCGGCGCCGAAGGAUGUGGCUGCGGCCGAUUAGGUAGACGGUGGGGUAACGGCCCACCGUGCCAAUAAUCGGUACGGGUCAUGAGAGUGAGAACCCGGAGACGGAAUCUGAGACAAGAUUCCGGGCCCUACGGGGCGCAGCAGGCGCGAAACCUUUACACUGCACGACAGUGCGAUAGGGGGAUCCCAAGUGCACAGGCAUAGCGCCUGUGCUUUUCGGCACCCUAAGGCGGUGCCAGAAUAAGGGCUGGGCAAGACCGGUGCCAGCCGCCGCGGUAAUACCGGCAGCCCAAGUGAUGGCCGAUCUUAUUGGGCCUAAAGCGUCCGUAGCUGGCCGCGCAAGUCCAUCGGGAAAUCCACCUGCUCAACAGGUGGGCGCCCGGUAGAAACUGCGUGGCUUGGGACCGGAAGGCGCGACGGGUACGUCCGGGGUAGGAGUGAAAUCCCGUAAUCCUGGACGGACCGCCGAUGGCGAAAGCACGUCGCGAGAACGGAUCCGACAGUGAGGGACGAAAGCCAGGGUCUCGAACCGGAUUAGAUACCCGGGUAGUCCUGGCCGUAAACAAUGUCUGCUAGGUGUGGCUCCCACUACGAGUGGGUGCUGUGCCGUAGGGAAGCCGCUAAGCAGACCGCCUGGGAAGUACGUCCGCAAGGAUGAA
Molecule: ribosomal RNA, 823 nt
Filed under: Halorubrum sodomense
Lineage: Archaea; Methanobacteriati; Methanobacteriota; Halobacteria; Halobacteriales; Haloferacaceae
Description: bacterial SSU rRNA
Rfam family: Archaeal small subunit ribosomal RNA
Source: RNAcentral